CCUACGGGGCGCAGCAGUGGGGAAUAUUGGACAAUGGGCGAAAGCCUGAUCCAGCCAUGCCGCGUGUGUGAAGAAGGCCUUCGGGUUGUAAAGCACUUUCAGUGGGGAAGAAAGCCUUGGGGCUAAUACCCUCGAGGAAGGACAUCACCUACAGAAGAAGCACCGGCUAACUCCGUGCCAGCAGCCGCGGUAAUACGGAGGGUGCGAGCGUUAAUCGGAAUUACUGGGCGUAAAGCGCGCGUAGGCGGUCUGAUAAGCCGGUUGUGAAAGCCCCGGGCUCAACCUGGGAACGGCAUCCGGAACGGUCAGGCUAGAGUGCAGGAGAGGAAGGUAGAAUUCCCGGUGUAGCGGUGAAAUGCGUAGAGAUCGGGAGGAAUACCAGUGGCGAAGGCGGCCUUCUGGACUGACACUGACGCUGAGGUGCGAAAGCGUGGGUAGCAAACAGGAUUAGAUACCCCGGUAGUC
Molecule: ribosomal RNA, 465 nt
Filed under: Vreelandella stevensii
Lineage: Bacteria; Pseudomonadati; Pseudomonadota; Gammaproteobacteria; Oceanospirillales; Halomonadaceae
Description: partial 16S ribosomal RNA
Rfam family: Bacterial small subunit ribosomal RNA
Source: RNAcentral